GCAUUAAUGGGGUAGUGGUAACCUGGGUCGUUGCCAAGAUCGUCGAACACGAAGAUGUAAUCCUCGACCCGCCGGGGGUUCGAUUCCCUCUUAAUGCA
This is a non-coding RNA of Paramarasmius palmivorus, 98 nucleotides long. The record is from the annotation of a GenBank genome assembly. NCBI's taxonomy places the organism in Eukaryota, Fungi, Basidiomycota, Agaricomycetes, Agaricales, Marasmiaceae.